Molecule: ribosomal RNA, 468 nt
Filed under: uncultured bacterium
Lineage: Bacteria
Description: partial 16S ribosomal RNA
Rfam family: Bacterial small subunit ribosomal RNA
Source: RNAcentral
GAUGAACGCUGGCGGCGUGCUUAACACAUGCAAGUCGAACGGAAAGGCCCAAGCUUGCUUGGGUACUCGAGUGGCGAACGGGUGAGUAACACGUGGGUGAUCUGCCCUGCACUUCGGGAUAAGCCUGGGAAACUGGGGCUAAUACCGGAUAGGACGAUGGGUUGGAUGCCAUUGUGGAAAGAGUUUUCGGGGUGGGAUGAGGUCGCGGCGUAUCAGCGUGUGGGUGGGGGAAUGGCCUACCAAGGCGUCGACGGGGAGCCGGCCUGAGAGGGUGUACGGCCCCAUUGGGGCUGUGAUACGGCCCAGACUCCUCCGCGGGGCAGCAGUGGGGAAUAUUGCACAAUGGGCGCGAGCCUGAUGCAGCGACGCCGCGUGGGGGAUGACGGCCUUCGGGUUGUAAACUCCUUUCGCUAGGGACGAAGCGUUUUUGUGACGGUACCUGGUGAAGAAGCACCGGCUAACUACGUG